GGACCAAGGGUUUAUUUUUUCCCCCUUCCAAAAGACCAAAAACGUUUUUUGCGGACCAGCAUUUCCUGGGUUAAUUUAGGGAGGGAACCGCCAGGUAGGGCCCCAUUGCCACAAAAAUUUUUUGAAGGAACAAGGGGGAAGGAGGUAACUUCCGGUUGGAUUAAGCCUGAACGCCUCUAAGGUCGUAUCCGUGCUGGACUGCAAUGAUAAUAAGGGGGCAAUUUGCAUUGUAUGGCUUCUAAACCAUUAAAAAGUUUUUAAUUUGUUUUAUUAACGACAAUGGAUGUGAUGCCAAUGUUUAUUUAUAACAUAGUAAAUUGGGAGGAUCUUCGAUCACCUGAUGCCGCGCUAGUUAUAUUUUAAAACAUUAUUUAAUACAAUGUCAAAGCCUAGAAUCAAUUGUAAACGACUUUUGUAACAGGCAAGGUGUUGUAAGUGGUUGAGCAGCUGCCAUACUGCGAUCCACUGAAGCUUAUCCUUUGCUUGAUGAUUCGA
RNAcentral lists this non-coding RNA (495 nucleotides) under Drosophila virilis. RNAcentral's name for it is "Eukaryotic large subunit ribosomal RNA". It matches the Rfam family "Eukaryotic large subunit ribosomal RNA", at positions 3050 to 3401 of the family's 3401-position model. Lineage: Eukaryota; Metazoa; Arthropoda; Insecta; Diptera; Drosophilidae. The record is from Rfam by way of RNAcentral.